UUUGAUAGCCCAUUACUCUCGCUAUCCGCCCGGGUACUACGAGCACUAGCUUAAAACCCAAAGGACUUGGCGGUGCUUUAGAUCCACCUAGAGGAGCCUGUUCUAGAACCGAUAACCCCCGUUAAACCUCACCCUCCCUUGUUCUUUCCGCCUAUAUACCGCCGUCGUCAGCUUACCCUGUGAAGGAACCACAGUAAGCAAAACUAGUACAACUCAAAACGCCAGGUCGAGGUGUAGCAUAUGAGAGGGGAAGAAAUGGGCUACAUUCCCUGCCACAGGGAAUACGAACAAUGUAAUGAAACGUACAUUUAAAGGAGGAUUUAGCAGUAAGCAGAAAAUAGAGUG
RNAcentral lists this ribosomal RNA (345 nucleotides) under Coptodon guineensis (Guinean tilapia). RNAcentral's name for it is "partial 12S ribosomal RNA". It matches the Rfam family "Bacterial small subunit ribosomal RNA", at positions 801 to 1318 of the family's 1533-position model. The record is from RNAcentral. Lineage: Eukaryota; Metazoa; Chordata; Actinopteri; Cichliformes; Cichlidae.